GACGAAGGAUGCAAGCGUUAUCCGGAUUCAUUGGGUUUAAAGGGUGCGUAGGUGGGUCUGUAAGUCAGUGGUGAAAUCUCCGAGCUUAACUCGGAAACUGCCAUUGAUACUAUAGGUCUUGAAUUAUCUGGAGGUGAGCGGAAUAUGUCAUGUAGCGGUGAAAUGCUUAGAUAUGACAUAGAACACCAAUUGCGAAGGCAGCUCACUACGGAUAUAUUGACACUGAGGCACGAAAGCGUGGGGAUCAAACAGG
This 253-nucleotide ribosomal RNA is filed under the name uncultured bacterium. RNAcentral's name for it is "partial 16S ribosomal RNA". It matches the Rfam family "Bacterial small subunit ribosomal RNA", at positions 524 to 776 of the family's 1533-position model. The record is from RNAcentral.